UACAGAGGUCUCAAGCGUUGUUCGGAUUCAUUGGGCGUAAAGGGUGCGUAGGCGGCGCGGUAAGUCGGGUGUGAAAUUUCGGAGCUUAACUCCGAAACUGCAUUUGAUACUGCCUUGCUUGAGGACUGGAGAGGAGAUUGGAAUUCACGGUGUAGCAGUGAAAUGCGUAGAUAUCGUGAGGAAGACCAGUGGCGAAGGCGGAUCUCUGGACAGUUCCUGACACUGAGGCACGAAGGCCAGGGGAGCAAACGGG
RNAcentral lists this ribosomal RNA (253 nucleotides) under uncultured bacterium. Its description in RNAcentral is "partial 16S ribosomal RNA". It matches the Rfam family "Bacterial small subunit ribosomal RNA", at positions 524 to 776 of the family's 1533-position model. The record is from RNAcentral.